UUUAUUUUACUACUAUUAGGAAGAGUGAGUUCCAACUCACUUUCUCGUCACUCUUUUUUUUUUUUUUUAUUUAUAUAUAUAUAUUGCUUGAUUUUGUCAAUAUGGGAUACUAUGUUCAAAACACGAUUAAUAUAAUAUUGUAGUUUGUGCUCCGUAUUUAAAACUUUAUUAUAUUAGUGUUUGCUAUGAAUACGCACGUGGCAAUAAAUCCAUCAUUAUUGACUUAAUGAGAUACUUUGGAAAUUACAUGAAUAUUGUUUGAUUUUUUAAUACGGGGUGCACUUUUUUUUUUUGACAUUAUUAAUUUGCACUAUUUUUUUAAUAUUAGUUGUUGUUUAAUAUAUAUGGGGCCCACAUUUUUUUUUUAAUUAAAUUAGAACGGAUAUAUAUAUAUUAGAAUUAUGGGACCCACAAUUAUUUUUUUAUAUUAGUUGUUGUUUAAAUAAUAUAUAUGGGGCACACAAUUUUCCUCUUUAAUAAAUGGUUUUUUCCAGAUUUAUAUUUGUUCCAUUUGAAGCCAUUGAGAAGUAUUAACAAGUAGCAUGUGUUGGUUUAGUGGAAUGCCUUGGAAUAAUAAAAUGCUUUUCUAGCUUACAUAUAUGUAUGUCUUCUCGCUUUUCAUAGUUCUCUUUACCCCCCUUUUCGAGGAUUGGAGUAAUCAUGUUUAAAGUACUUAUCAAGCAGUAAAUGGAAUUACACCAGACAAAUUGUAUUGUUGAGCCGGAGAAAGCAGGAAAGUACUUCCACUGUUAGAGCUAGCUUUUCUUAUUUAUUGCUGCUUGCAUUUGAGUUUCAUUAUUUCGUUCGCAGUUCAGGGUUUCAUAACGUUAUCUGCAGGUAAAAUCUCUCCUGCCCAAUGUUUACUAUUUUUACCCUUGAGUUCAAUUUAAUACGCAUUAUCCAUGCCCGUGCCUGUCAAACAGCUCGCAUUGGCAGGGAGCAUCCGUCCUCCUCUAUUUAUCUGUUUUCUUUUAAAUUUUGGAGAAAAGAGUUCCUCCGUGGAUUGAUCUUUGUUAGGAAGGCAAUGCACAUUCAUAGGAAAGUAAGUUCCUUUGAAAUUUUGCUAUCCAUAUUUUUCAAUACCUAAUUAGUAUUACAGGGUGUUUUGGUGUUAAUUGAUAACUCCUGAGGAUCAUUUACGCAAACUGGGAAUACAUACAAUAACGUGAAGAGGAAGAGUGGGAGGGUGCUGCAUCUCUUAACCUGGUUCCGUAAUAGCACUUUUGUCUAUUUGUAGCUUCUGAUUAGGAUGAGGCCACAUUGGAGGAAAAUAAUAUGUUUUAGAUUUUAUCUAUCACAAGCCUCUAUAUACACGCAUGCAAUAUUCUAUCAGUAAUUUAGUGCCUACGGUGAUAUGAAAUGUAAUAUAUUUAAUUUAUUGUAAUUAAAAAGGAGUGUAGUUGUUUGAUUAAGGUCAUAUUGAACAGGAAAAGGAAGCACUCGAUCAUAUGCUUUAAUAAGUUGUUGUUAAAGACAGAGGAUUUUUUUGUUAUUGCAGGUAAAAAUACUGUAGUGAAAGUGGGAUUUCAGCUUGUUAGGCCAGGAAAAAAAUUCCUUCUCGAUUUCCCAGUAUUUGCGAUUGUCUAAUUCUGAUGUUGUGACAAAUUUCAUUGAGGGACUUACUGAGAUCUAUUUCAGGUUAUGGUUAUCUUGAGGGCUGAUGUUUCUGGUAAAAAGUAUGACAACAUAGCUAUCAUAUCAGGUAUUUCCAUUUGAAGUUUUGAACUAGGUCCCAUCUCUAUUUCAGUACUGGAAUUUUCUUUUUAUUAGUACCACUAACAAUAGUGCAUUCAAAGCUAUAUUCAUAAAUUGAAAAUGGAUGAAGCUUGAUAGAUUAAUCUGAUUUGUAUGAUAUGGUGAUGAAACUAGAAAGCCUCUUAUAACAAGUUAAACUACAGGUCUCUUGUGCAUAGGUUUCCUCACUUCUUCUGAAAGAAAAAACAAUUUUUUGUGAGAUUCUCUACAGUUUUGUGCUUAAAACUAAAUACGAUUUUCAGUAGUUCCUUAAUCUCUUUUUUGGUGGAUUAUAAAACCUUAAAAAAAAUGAUUCUGUACAAACAGCAACCAAAUAACUAUACUAAUUGAGUCCUCAUAAGUGCACUAGAAGUCUCAUAAACAAAAUUGUUUUCCACACUUUCAAGGAAUUGCAACGGACGACGAGAAAGUGAGUUGGAACUCACUCUUCUUAAUAGUAGUAAUAAGCAGAACAUAAAGAUGAGUCUACGGAGGAAGAAGAAGAAUCUGAAACAGCCACUUUAUUGUAAACAAAUUAAAGUAGCAAUCAAUAUGUGGUCGUGGGCUGAAUUAGAAGGUUUCUUCAGUACGUGGGCUGACUUUUGCCAAAGGAGUAUUUAAUUUAUUAAGCUUUUGUUUUUGUUAAUUUAAUUAAUUAAGUAGUAGAUUAUGUAUAAAAAUAUAGGGAAAAAUGCCAAAAAAAAAGGAGAUAAAAGAUAAAUAGAAAUGAAGGUCAUAGAGAGGUGUCGCAUCACCUUGUCUAUGCCUAGCUUUAUGUUAUAUAUAGAUUUUUAAGCGGGUAGAUAUAUACAAACUAGGAAUAUGGUUUGUCUCCAGCUUUAUUAUUAUUAUUAUUUUUACGAUAUAUAAGAUUUCAUCAUAUGCCCAAUGUCCAGCUUUGGUUCAUAAUGUGAUCUCUCAAUCUUUAAAUUCUUUCUUUAUUAAAUCAAAUAUAAUUAACAUCGUCCUAUCCUUGAGCUACGAACUGGAUUGUACUAAAUUUAAAACCCACUGCAACUAGUAUUAUCUGAUGUCAUUAUUUUCGUAAAAACAAAUAAUGAAAUUAAAGCUCAUAAUAGUAUCUUUUCUUAUAUUUUUUAAAAAAAUAUAUGGUAUUCAAUAAAAGGACUUUGUCAAUUUUGUCUCAAACAAGCAAACAUUCUCCUGUGGGUAAUUAGUUGGUGCAGAAAAUAAACUGAAACCAUGCAUUAGAUUGAUAUGCAGUACUUUGUCUUACCGGUGUUUUAAAAAGCAAGACCGCGAAGCCAGGCGCAAGCCCCAUUAAAUUUUUAUGUUUUAAUAUUUUAUAAUUACUAUAUAGGAAUAGAUUAAAAACAUAAAAUUACACUGAAAUUUCAAGAAAAAAUAGAGUAACUGAAAAUGUAUAUAGUACUACUUCAUCUUAAAACGCUAAUCAGAAUCAACAAUUGACUAAAAAUGAAUCAGAAUUCUUUUAUCUAAAAAAUUAAUCAAUUUUUUUAAAAUAAAUGAGAAGAAAUUAUAUAACUAACUUAAAAAGAAAGAAAAGAGAAGAAGGAACCUACAGUUAGAAGCAUCGAACCGGAGCAACUGUGAAGGAUGAUGCAUUUUUUGCUUUGUAAUUUGCUAAUUGACCAUUUUCCUCUUUACCUAGUGAAGAGAAAGAAUAAAAGUUAGACCAAUUUUUUUUUUUUUUUGAAAACCUUUCAACUUCUUAGAAUUUAAUAACAAGCCGAGUUUUAUGUUAUUUUUAUAUUAAACUAAGGACUUAUUUAGCAAUUUAAAAUUCUAAUUAGAAAAGCACUUUCUCGAUUUAAACUCCAAAACAAAACUUGCCAACACCUAAGAGUAUGCCUAAAAUAAUGAGGUUUACGUCUCACAUUACUUUCACCCCCUCCCCACUUUCAAGACCGCUUGGUGUUUUAUUUUCUUGCCCCACCCCCGGACUCGUCCAAAAAACUGUCUUUUAAUACAUUGGUUCUCAUAAAAUUGUCUUGUGCUACAAAUAUAAGGUUGCUGAUAAUGCCUUUUAAGAUUCAGAUCUCGCUGAAUGUUAUGUUGAUGUGCUUCAAAGUUAUGAACUGGAUAAAAGGAAAGUGGUAAGUGAUAGGCUAGACAAAUUUAAGGAGUUGAAAUUGGUUAUAAUCUUUAGGCCCAAGAAGCUAGACAGGAGAUGAACUUUUAUGCUUUGGUUAAUAAGAAGAAGUUGAAAACAAUCAAGGACGAUACAAUAAAAUUUAGGUAUCAGUGUGAUAGUUGGUGAUUAUCUCUUUAUGUGCCUCGUAUCAUAGGAUGGGACGUUAACUACUUAUAAAGUUAAAAUCUUGGUGUCUAGGCAUACUUGUAUGGAUUGUUAAUGGUUGAGGCAGUUGUAGCAGCUGCUUAUUUUGAGCAGCAAAUUCAAAGCAAUUCAAAAUAUUCUACCAAGGACAUGAAAGGACAGUUGAAUCUAAUUUUAGUUUGAAUUUCUCAAAAUCUAGGCUGAAAAAGGCAAAAAGAAUGAUUCUUGAUAAGUUAAAAGCAGUUUCAAGAAUGACUGUAACAGGCUUGAAGUUUAUGAUCAGAAACUUAGGCAGUCAAAUUUUAGGAACUGAUAUUGUAAUUAAUAUAUCUCUAGAGAUGCACUUGGACAAAGUAAAAUAAGGGUCUUGAGAAUGUACAUUUGCUUCAAGGCUAUGAAGGAUGAAUAGAAAGUUUGAAACUUCUAAUUGGUUUGAUCAAUGAAGUUUUUCUAAAAAGAAGACAUAAGGGUCAACUAUUGAUGUCUAUUGAGCACGAUUCCAUGAACCACUUUUAACCACUAGCUUGGGCAGUGGGAGACAAGAAAACCACCAGGAGUUGGUUUAUUCAGUCGUUGAAGGUGUUUGGAGCUGAAGAGUGGUGAAGUUGUGACAAUCAUUUUUGACAUGCAAAACGCAACGGUGCUGAUUUUUUUCACUGAUUUCUGCCCUUUACUUUUCCUUUUUCUUGUUAUUUGACUUUGUGUAACUUGCAGUGUCUAGCUAAUGCUGUAAAAAAUGUUCUUCCAGAAGCCAAACAUAGGCCCUGUGUUAGUGAUGUCGCCCAAAUUACACCUUUUAAUGAUGUAAAGCGGUCGUUGUCCAAUAUAUAACUCAACUAGGUUGGGGUCGAAUCCCAUAGAGACUACGAUGAGAAACACAUCCUAUUCGUUUAUGUAAUUGACUUUACUAGGUUCUUUAUUAAUGGUUUGAAAUGUUUGUUCACUCACACUUUGUUAAAUUGAAACUAUUUGA
Molecule: long non-coding RNA, 4967 nt
Organism: Lycium barbarum (goji berry)
Lineage: Eukaryota; Viridiplantae; Streptophyta; Magnoliopsida; Solanales; Solanaceae
Exons: 4
Source: RefSeq, a predicted model, not a curated record